This 500-nucleotide ribosomal RNA is filed under the name uncultured bacterium. RNAcentral describes it as "partial 16S ribosomal RNA". It matches the Rfam family "Bacterial small subunit ribosomal RNA", at positions 28 to 523 of the family's 1533-position model. The record is from RNAcentral.
GACGAACGCUGGCGGCGUGCCUAAUACAUGCAAGUCGAGCGGACCACUUCGGUGGUCAGCGGCGGACGGGUGAGUAACACGUGGGCAACCUGCCUGUAAGACUGGGAUAACACCGGGAAACCGGUGCUAAUACCGGAUAAUCCUUUCCUUCACAUGAGGGAAAGCUGAAAGACGGUUUCGGCUGUCACUUACAGAUGGGCCCGCGGCGCAUUAGCUAGUUGGUGAGGUAACGGCUCACCAAGGCAACGAUGCGUAGCCGACCUGAGAGGGUGAUCGGCCACACUGGGACUGAGACACGGCCCAGACUCCUACGGGAGGCAGCAGUAGGGAAUCUUCCGCAAUGGACGAAAGUCUGACGGAGCAACGCCGCGUGAGCGAUGAAGGCCUUCGGGUCGUAAAGCUCUGUUGUCAGGGAAGAACAAGUACCGGAGUAACUGCCGGUACCUUGACGGUACCUGACCAGAAAGCCACGGCUAACUACGUGCCAGCCGCCGCCGUAA